GACGAACGCUGGCGGCGUGCUUAACACAUGCAAGUCGAACGGAAAGGCCCUGCUUUUGUGGGGUGCUCGAGUGGCGAACGGGUGAGUAACACGUGAGUAACCUGCCCUUGACUUUGGGAUAACUUCAGGAAACUGGGGCUAAUACCGGAUAGGAGCUCCUGCUGCAUGGUGGGGGUUGGAAAGUUUCGGCGGUUGGGGAUGGACGCGCGGCUUAUCAGCUUGUUGGUGGGGUAGUGGCUUACCAAGGCUGUGACGGGUAGCCGGCCUGAGAGGGUGACCGGCCACAUUGGGACUGAGAUACGGCCCAGACUCCUACGGGAGGCAGCAGUGGGGAAUAUUGCACAAUGGGCGGAAGCCUGAUGCAGCAACGCCGCGUGCGGGAUGACGGCCUUCGGGUUGUAAACCGCUUUCGCCUGUGACGAAGCGUGAGUGACGGUAAUGGGUAAAGAAGCACCGGCUAACUACGUG
This 468-nucleotide ribosomal RNA is filed under the name uncultured bacterium. RNAcentral describes it as "partial 16S ribosomal RNA". It matches the Rfam family "Bacterial small subunit ribosomal RNA", at positions 28 to 507 of the family's 1533-position model. The record is from RNAcentral.